UACGUAGGAUGCAAGCGUUGUUCGGAAUUACUGGGCGUAAAGCGUGCGCAGGCGGUUUUGUAAGCCAGAUGUGAAAGCCCCGGGCUCAACCUGGGAAUGGCAUUUGGGACUGCAAGGCUUGAGUGCGGCAGAGGAGACUGGAAUUCCUGGUGUAGCAGUGAAAUGCGUAGAUAUCAGGAGGAAUACCGAUGGCGAAGGCAGGUCUCUGGGCUGACACUGACGCUCAUGCACGAAAGCGUGGGGAGCAAACAGG
RNAcentral lists this ribosomal RNA (253 nucleotides) under uncultured bacterium. RNAcentral's name for it is "partial 16S ribosomal RNA". It matches the Rfam family "Bacterial small subunit ribosomal RNA", at positions 524 to 776 of the family's 1533-position model. The record is from RNAcentral.